RNAcentral lists this ribosomal RNA (1180 nucleotides) under Prevotella denticola. RNAcentral describes it as "bacterial SSU rRNA". It matches the Rfam family "Bacterial small subunit ribosomal RNA", at positions 28 to 1198 of the family's 1533-position model. Lineage: Bacteria; Pseudomonadati; Bacteroidota; Bacteroidia; Bacteroidales; Prevotellaceae. The record is from RNAcentral.
GAUGAACGCUGGCUACAGGCUUAACACAUGCAAGUCGAGGGGAAACGGCAUUGAGUGCUUGCACUGAAUGGACGUCGACCGGCGCACGGGUGAGUAACGCGUAUCCAACCUUCCCGUUACUGCGGGAUAACCUGCCGAAAGGCAGACUAAUACCGCAUGUUCUUCGAUGACGGCAUCAGAUUCGAAGCAAAGAUUCUUCGGUAACGGAGGGGGAUGCGUCUGAUUAGCUAGCUGGCGGGGCGACGGCCCACCAAGGCGACGAUCAGUAGGGGUUCUGAGAGGUAGGUCCCCCACAUUGGAACUGAGACACGGUCCAAACUCCUACGGGAGGCAGCAGUGAGGAAUAUUGGUCAAUGGGCGGAAGCCUGAACCAGCCAAGUAGCGUGCAGGAGGACGGCCCUACGGGUUGUAAACUGCUUUUAUGCGGGGAUAAAGUGAGGGACGCGUCCCUUUUUGCAGGUACCGCAUGAAUAAGGACCGGCUAAUUCCGUGCCAGCAGCCGCGGUAAUACGGAAGGUCCGGGCGUUAUCCGGAUUUAUUGGGUUUAAAGGGAGCGUAGGCCGGGGAUUAAGUGUGUUGUGAAAUGUAGGCGCCCAACGUCUGACUUGCAGCGCAUACUGGUUCCCUUGAGUACGCGCAACGCCGGCGGAAUUCGUCGUGUAGCGGUGAAAUGCUUAGAUAUGACGAAGAACCCCGAUUGCGAAGGCAGCCGGCGGGAGCGCAACUGACGCUGAAGCUCGAAGGUGCGGGUAUCGAACAGGAUUAGAUACCCUGGUAGUCCGCACGGUAAACGAUGGAUGCCCGCUGUCGGCGCCUUGCGCCGGCGGCCAAGCGAAAGCGUUAAGCAUCCCACCUGGGGAGUACGCCGGCAACGGUGAAACUCAAAGGAAUUGACGGGGGCCCGCACAAGCGGAGGAACAUGUGGUUUAAUUCGAUGAUACGCGAGGAACCUUACUCGGGCUUGAAUCGCAGGAGAACGAUACAGAGAUGUUGAGGUCCCUCGGGACUCCGUGAAGGUGCUGCAUGGUUGUCGUCAGCUCGUGCCGUGAGGUGUCGGCCUAAGUGCCAUAACGAGCGCAACCCCUCUCCCCAGUUGCCAUCGGGUGAUGCCCGGGCACCUCCGGGGACACUGCCGCCGCAAGGGUGCAACGAAGGCGGGGAAUACUUCAAUUCACCACGG